RNAcentral lists this ribosomal RNA (253 nucleotides) under uncultured bacterium. Its description in RNAcentral is "partial 16S ribosomal RNA". It matches the Rfam family "Bacterial small subunit ribosomal RNA", at positions 524 to 776 of the family's 1533-position model. The record is from RNAcentral.
UACGUAGGGUGCGAGCGUUAAUCGGAAUUACUGGGCGUAAAGCGUGCGCAGGCGGUUCGCCAAGUCAGGUGUGAAAUCCCCGGGCUUAACCUGGGAAUUGCGCUUGAAACUAGCGGGCUUGAGUGUGGCAGAGGGGGGUGGAAUUCCACGUGUAGCAGUGAAAUGCGUAGAGAUGUGGAGGAACACCAGUGGCGAAGGCGACUUUCUGGGCUGUAACUGACGCUGAGGCGCGAAAGCGUGGGUAGCAAACAGG